Molecule: ribosomal RNA, 1961 nt
Filed under: metagenome
Description: bacterial LSU rRNA
Rfam family: Bacterial large subunit ribosomal RNA
Source: RNAcentral
GUGAACAAUUAAGGGCGCGCGGUGGAUGCCUAGGCUCUCGGAGGCGAUGAAGGACGCGAUAAGCCGCGAUAGGCCACGGCGAGGUGCAAGUAACCCUUGACCCGUGGAUUUCCGAAUGGGGCAACCCGGCUGGAUAGAUUCCAGUCAUGCAUUAAUGCAAGCGAACGCGGGGAACUGAAACAUCUCAUUACCCGCAGGAGAAGAAAACAACAGUGAUUCCCCCAGUAGUGGCGAGCGAACGGGGAAGAGCCCAAACCGCUGCCGUUUCGGCGACAGCGGGGUCAUGGGACCGCGAUAUUCGACGGAAGACGAAGUGCAAUUACCUGGAAAGGUAAGCCGUGGAGGGUGACAGCCCCGUGCACGACACCUCUUUCGAAGAUAGCGGUAUCCCGAGUAGGGCGGGACACGAGAAAUCCUGCCUGAAUUCGCCAGGACCCCCUGGCAAGGCUAAAUACUCCCGAGAGACCGAUAGUGAACCAGUACCGCGAGGGAAAGGUGAAAAGUACCCCGAGCAGGGGGGUGAAAUAGACCCUGAACCCGCGCGCCUACAAGCGGUCGGAGCCGGGUAAUCCGGUGACGGCGUGCCUUUUGCAUAAUGAGCCUACGAGUUAGUCGUCACCAGCGAGGUUAAGGGCUUCAGGCCCGUUAGCCGAAGUGAAAGCGAGCCUUAACAGGGCGUCAAGUUGGUGGCGCUAGACGCGAAACCUUGUGAUCUACCCACGAGCAGGUUGAAGUCGCGGUAACACGUGAUGGAGGACCGAACCGGUAAACGUUGAAAAGUUUUCGGAUGACUCGCGGGUAGGGGUGAAAGGCCAAUCAAACUGGGAAAUAGCUCGUACUCUCCGAAAUGCAUUUAGGUGCAGCCUCUGUUGUUUUGUUCUAGAGGUAGAGCUACUGAUUGGAUGCGAGGGCUUCACCGCCUAUCAAAUCCGGCCAAACUCCGAAUGCUAGAACAUGAAGACAGGGAGUGAGCCAGCGGGUGCUAAGGUCCGUUGACGAAAGAGGGAGAACUCAGACCAUCAGCUAAGGUCCCCAAUUGUAUGCUAAGUUGGAAUUAAAACGGGGUGGGACUGCUUAGACAGCUAGGAUGUUGGCUUGGAAGCAGCCAUUCAUUUAAAGAGUGCGUAACAGCUCACUAGUCGAGCGGUCCUGCAUGGAUAAUACGCGGGCAUAAGCAUAUAACCGAAGCUAUGGGAUUGUAGAUGAUACAAUCGGUAGGAGAGCAUUCCAUUCAGCAUAGAAGCAGUACCGUGAGGUAUUGUGGAGCGGAUGGAAAAGCAAAUGUAGGCAUAAGUAACGAUAAUGCGGGUGAGAACCCCGCACGCCGAAAGAUCAAGGAUUCCCCGGCAAUGUCAAUCAUCCGGGGGUAAGUCGGAUCCUAAGGGUAAGCCGAGUGGCGAUCCCGAUGGCAAACAGGUUAAUAUUCCUGUACUGAUCAUAACUGCGAUGCAGCGACGCAGAGGUGACACUGCUGCGUACUGACGGAAUAGUACGUUGAAACCCGUAUUCUUUGAUACCGGUAGUGAAGCACGCCGGUAGAGAUGAAAGGUGAUAGUACCGCAAUGCUUCGGUUGCGCGGAUAACGCAGGUAAGCUGACUGCCAAGAAAACCUGCUAAGCUUCAGGUAAUGAUCAUCCGUACUGUAAACGGACACACGUGAUCAGGUAGAAAAUACUAAGGCGCUCGAGAGAUUCAUGGUUAAGGAACUAGGCAAAAUGGUCCUGUAACUUCGGGAUAAAGGACGCUCUUGUGAAAGAGCCGCAGAUAAUAGGCCCAGGCGACUGUUUACCAAAAACACAUGGCUAUGCUAAUUCGCAAGAAGAUGUAUAUGGCCUGACACCUGCCCGGUGCCGGAAGGUUAAGAGGAGAGCUCAGAGGCAACUCGAAGGUUUGAAUUGAAGCCCCGGUAAACGGCGGCCGUAACUAUAACGGUCCUAAGGUAGCGAAAUUCCUUGUCGGGU